AUCCUGGCUCAGGAUGAACGCUGGCGGCGUGCCUAAUACAUGCAAGUCGAACGCACAGCAAAGGUGCUUGCACCUUUCAAGUGAGUGGCGAACGGGUGAGUAACACGUGGAUAACCUACCUCAAGGUUGGGGAUAACAUUUGGAAACAGAUGCUAAUACCGAAUAAACUUAGUAUCGCAUGAUACCAGGUUAAAAGGCGCUACGGCGUCACCUAGAGAUGGAUCCGCGGUGCAUUAGUUAGUUGGUGGGGUAAAGGCUUACCAAGACAAUGAUGCAUAGCCGAGUUGAGAGACUGAUCGGCCACAUUGGGACUGAGACACGGCCCAAACUCCUACGGGAGGCUGCAGUAGGGAAUCUUCCACAAUGGGCGAAAGCCUGAUGGAGCAACGCCGCGUGUGUGAUGAAGGCUUUCGGGUCGUAAAGCACUGUUGUAUGGGAAGAACAGCUAGAGUAGGGAAUGACUUUAGUUUGACGGUACCAUACCAGAAAGGGACGGCUAAAUACGUG
Molecule: ribosomal RNA, 507 nt
Filed under: uncultured bacterium
Lineage: Bacteria
Description: bacterial SSU rRNA
Rfam family: Bacterial small subunit ribosomal RNA
Source: RNAcentral